UACUGGCUAAAAUUCAGUGGUCAUUCAUUAAACUGUAGAAUAGGUGAUUGCAACAUGCCUAGAGGUUUCUAACUUUUUUGUUUGAAUUCUAGCACAAUCUUAGAACUUUCACCUAUAUAAACUUUCCACAUAUUUUUUAAAACUUAUAUUCAAAUAAUUAUAGAUUCACCAGAAAUUGUAAAGAAGUUUUUUAGAAAAUCUCAUGCACCCUUCUUGCUGCUUCUUGUCAACAUUUUACACACCUAUAGUAUAACAUCAAAACCAAUAAAUUGAUGUGGAUACAAUCUGUAGACCUGGUUCAGAUUUCACAAGUUAAGUAUGUACACACUAGUGGGGUGUAUAUGUGUGUGUGUGUGUGUGUGUGUGUGUGUGUUUAAGUGUGUAGUUUUGAGCAAUUUCAUCCCAUGUCCAGACUUGUAUACUAACAUUAUAAUCAAGGUUACUCAGCUGUGAUGGUUCCUUAUAGGAUUCCUUUAUGUUGCCUCUGUAACUAUCCAUCUCUUCCUCUCCACCCAUCCCUAAAUCCUGGUAGCCAUUAAUCUGUUUUUCAUCUUUAUAAUUGUUAUUUCUUAAAUGAAAUCAUUCAGUAUCCUUUGGAAACUGACUCUCUUCAUUUGGCAUCAUUUCUUUGAGGCUUCUCGAAGUUGUAUGUAUUAAUGGUUUCUUUUUAUUUCUGAAAAGUAUUUUAUUUACUUUUUUUUUUUUUAACAGUACUUGAAGUUGAACUCAGUAGUGUUUUACCUCUGAAAAACAUCCCUAGCCUUUGUCUCUUUAACUUUUUUGAGGCAAAGUCUCAUUAAAUUGUCCAAGCUGUCCUUGAACUCAUGAUCCUCCUACCUUAGCCUCCCAUGUAGCUGGGGUUACAGGCAUGCACAACCAUGUCCUGCAGAAGUAUUUGUUAGACAUGCCACAGUUUUUUUUAGUAACACAUUUAUUGAAGGAGUUCAGUUCAUUUAGUAACAGAUCUAUUGAAGGAGUUCUUUCUAGUUUUUGACUCUACUCUCUGAAAAUAAGUCUUCCUUUCCCUGGGAAAAAUGUCUAAGAUAACAGGUGCUGGGUUGUAUGGAAAGUCCAUUUUUAGUUUUGAAAGGCCUUGUUUUCAUAGUAACCGUGCCAUUAAAUCUUCCUGCCAGCAAUGAAUGAGUGAUCCAGUUUCUUUCCAUCUUUGCCAGCAUUGGUGUUCUUGUUUUUUCUUUUGUUUUAGUUGGUCUGAUAGUUACAUAGUCUGUUAAUUUUAUAGCACAAUAUAAGUUGUAAUAAAAUAAAAUACUGGAGGGUCUGGGGUUAUAGCUCAGUGGUAGAGCACUUGUUUCACACGUGUGAGGCACUGGGUUCGAUCCUCAGUACCACAUAAGAUGAAUAAAUAAAGUAUUGUUUCCAUCUACAACUAAAAAUAUUAAAAAAUAAAAUAAAAUACUGGAAUAAUUACAUGAAUACUGUCUGAAGAGGAUGAAGUUGCCAAACUGCAACUGCUGAUUCCAACCUUGAAUCUUGAUGUGAUGUGAGUGCCAACAGUUUUAUAAAUCUGACUUCAGCUCAAAAGAUUGAGGGAUGUCAUAUUGUACAAAGGUUGUAAAAGUUGAUGCAAGAACCUCCUGUCAUAGCUUCAGAAUAGAGAUGUAUGUUUUUAGUUAAAUGAAUUUUGUGUCUGGCCAGAACAGUGAUUUACUGACAUGUAUUCAGUAAUAAAAGCACCAGAGUUAAGGUGACUUGGAAGCAUUGAGUAUAUUGGCCUCUUAGCCUCAGUCCUAUGUGGUAGGCUGAGUUUGAGUCUAGUGGAAUAACAUGCCCCUUAAUUGAAAGCCAGCUGCUUCAGUUGGUGCUUGACUAAUGAAAUAACAAUCUCUUCUACCUCUGGAGGAAACCCCGACAUUCUUGGAAUUAAUGAAAUAACAUGUGAUUGCAUAAGUUGUACCUUCCUGCUGGAUUAAGAAAUAUAAGAAAUUGGGAUGAUUUCCAAAUUAACCUUGUAUUUACCCUUUAUUUGAGAUACAUGCUGUCUUUUAAAAACCUAACCCCCCAAGUAAGAGGAGUACCUUGUAUAAGCAAAACAGUGUGUUGUUUGUUUAUUUGUUUGGCAUUGGGGAUCGAACCCAGGGCCUUGUGCAUGCAAGGCAAGCACUCUGCCAACUGAGCUAUAUCUCAAGCCCCAAGCCAAACAAUGUUUUGUGUGAGUUCUCUUCAGUGGCUUGGCUAUUUUGAGCAAUGUUUAAGGGAGAGAUUUGUGGAAUAAAAGAAAGGUCUAUUUCUGCUAAAUUUCAGGUGAGGGCCCAGGGUCAGACUAUAAUAUUAUUGCUUCAGUUUUCUCUGCUGUGAAAAUGAGAGCCUUGAACUGGUGGGUAUCCAGACCCUUCAUGCCCUGACUGGUGGCGUAGAGCGUUACCAAAACCAAGAAAGUGAAAGGAAUGCCUGACUGCUUAUUUAGAUCAGAAGUUAUCAGGUUGCUUUCCUGCCAUUGGCUUCUGAAGGACUGAAGUUGAUUUCCGAAUUGUUAGAGCUGCAGGGAGGGAACCUGACCUGAGCCAAGACAGGUUGUAUCAGUGCUGCUUAUUUUUUCUCUCUCCCAAUGGUGGAAGAGUGAUUCUACACCACAAAAGUCCAAAGUUCUCAAUGAAAGCCUUUAAAACUUAAAGUUUUUUCAAAGUAUAAUGUUUUAUCAUAAAUCUUGGAAAUUUUCCUUCUCCAAUAUAUUGUUAUUGCAGUAUUUCCCUAUAAAUUAUUGAGAAAGCUACAUGUGGGUUUGUAGCUCAUGCCUGUAAUACUGUGGAGGCUGAGGUAGGAG
This 2782-nucleotide long non-coding RNA is filed under the name Marmota monax (woodchuck). The stretch from base 1281 to 1349 matches the Rfam family "tRNA". Lineage: Eukaryota; Metazoa; Chordata; Mammalia; Rodentia; Sciuridae. The record is from RNAcentral.